UAGGGAAUCUUCGGCAAUGGACGAAAGUCUGACCGAGCAACGCCGCGUGAGUGAAGAAGGUUUUCGGAUCGUAAAACUCUGUUGUUAGAGAAGAACAAGGACGUUAGUAACUGAACGUCCCCUGACGGUAUCUAACCAGAAAGCCACGGCUAACUACGUGCCAGCAGCCGCGGUAAUACGUAGGUGGCAAGCGUUGUCCGGAUUUAUUGGGCGUAAAGCGAGCGAAGGCGGUUUCUUAAGUCUGAUGUGAAAGCCCCCGGCUCAACCGGGGAGGGUCAUUUGAAACUGGGAGAGUUGAGUGCAGAAGAGGAUAGUGGAAUUCCAUGUGUAGCGGUGAAAUGCGUAGAUAUAUGGAGGAACACCAGUGGCGAAGGCGGCUCUCUGGUCUGUAACUGACGCUGAGGCUCGAAAGCGUGGGGAUCAAACAGG
Molecule: ribosomal RNA, 429 nt
Filed under: Gemmatimonadota bacterium
Lineage: Bacteria; Pseudomonadati; Gemmatimonadota
Description: Gemmatimonadetes bacterium partial 16S ribosomal RNA
Rfam family: Bacterial small subunit ribosomal RNA
Source: RNAcentral